GGAGGCGGCCUCGGCGGGCCGGGCGGGCGCUUCCGGGGCGCGCGCCCGAGCGUCUCCGGGUCGCGGUCCCUCAGCGCGGCCGGCGGCGCCCUCAGACCGGCGGGCCGGGUCUCGUGUCCGCCCCCCGGUCGCCUCCGCCCCGAGCGCGGCUCCUCAGGCGAGGCUCCCGGACGCGCGGGGGUCGGCGGAAGGCGCGGGCCGGGGGCGCACGCCCCGCAGCGGGGAGCCGAGGCCGAGGCGGCGCGGCCGCGGGGUCCGGCCGGCGCGUUUCCCGCCCGGCUGUGGUCCGAGGCGUCCGCCGGCGGAAGCCCCCCAGCCCUGCUGCUUCGCUCACUUAACUAGGCCGCCAGCUGGAGCGCGUCUGGGGGCGACGGCAGGGCCCCAGGAGGCCGGGCCGGGGCCUGGCGGCCGGACGCACGGACCCCCUCGGGCCCUUCGCGGCCCGGGGCGCGUGACCCCCGCUCCGGUUCCAUCCGGAACCUGCAGAGUCGCGGCGGCAGCGUCGGCCCCGCAAGGAGGGAGGUUGGGGAGGGUUAGACGGGUUAACAGGCAGAGCCCCGCGCUGCUGUGCCGCUGGGAAGUAAGAUGCCCUGUUUCCCGGGGGCUUCAAGGCAGCAAAGAGCCGCUUAGGAUCCGGGGCGAGGGCGUGUGUUCCGUGGAUGAUGGGGUCGCCGCAACAGCGGCCCGUCAGAUGCCACGUCCACCGCGGAGCUGGGGGCGGGUUGCCCUCCCCGGCGAAAGGGACGUUGCAGAGAUGCUGCAGGAUCCUGGCGGAGGGAGAGCCUGGGGUGUCCGGGUGGGCCCGUGGUGAUCCCGAGGUUAAGUGCGGGAGCGGGGCGAGGGGAGGAGCCGUGAGGGUGGAGGCCGUCCGUGUGCCUUCACCGCCCCUAAACCGGAUGCCCCCGAAAAGGCAGCUGCCGGUGCGCCUGCUGCUUUCGGGCCGUGGGGUUUUCCCGCUGGCUGCUUUAUAAGGUGUUCUUCUCGUAGGUUUGAUUUCUGCUCCUGUGCUAUGUAUGUUUGGGAGCGUGUUCCUUUUUAUUUAUGGUGCUUGAGAUACACCGGACCUCCUGAAUGUGUUGAUCAGUGCCUUUCAUGGGUUCUGGGAAAUUUUCAGCCGUUACCUCUUCACAUGCUGCUUCUGCCCCCACUUUCUUCUCUCCUUCUGUAACUCCAAUUAGGUGUCUGUCAGAUCUUUUCCAUCCACUGUUUCUCUUACCUUCUCUUUUUUUAUAUUUUCUAGAUUACUAAUUCUCUCUUCUAUGGUGUUAAACUUAUGUAUUGAGCUAUUUUGGGGGGGGAGAGGGAAUUUUAGGUUCUAGAAUUUCUACUUGAUUCUUUUAAAAAUCUGUUCGAUUCAUUAUUUUUCUUUAAAGAUUGGCACCUGAGCUAACAUCUGUUGCCAAUCUUUUUUUUCCCUUCUUCUCCCCAAAGCUGUCCAGUCCAUAGUUGCAUAUUCUAGUUGUAGGUCCUUCUAGCUGUGCUAUGUGGGACGCUGCCUCAGCAUGGCCUGAUGAGCGGUGCCAUGUCCAAUCCCGGGAUCCGAACUAUCGAAACCCUGGGCCGGCGAAGUGGAGCACUCGAACUUAACCGCUUGGCCCCAGGGCCGGCCCCUAGAUUCAUUUUUAUAAUGGCUAACUCUUUGCCAAAAUUGUCAAUCUUGGCUUUUAUCUCUUUGAAUAUAGUAGGCAUCGUUGGUGUCCAGUCUGGGUCUCUGAUAGGUCCAAUAUCUGGAGUCCCAGUGGGUCUGUUGUAGGUUCUUCGUUCUAGUUAUUUGUUGUGUAUUGUUUAAGCUGGUUCUUGCUCCUGUUGUCACCUGUCUUUGUAUGCUAGACAUUGUAACAGAAACACUUGAAACCCUAGUGAAACAUAUGAUGAUUUCUUUUCCCCACAGAGGAUUUCAUUUUCUUCUGGCCGGUGCCUCAGGAUGCCAACAAACAGGAUCACUCUAAUCCAGAGCGUUGGGCACUUGGGGGGACUGAUUUAGUCUGGUUCACUCCACCUUCCAGGGUGCUGUCCUUCUGAGGACCAGCUGAAAACAGGUUUACCAGAGUCACCACUCUUGACAGGUCCUAGACUCCAUAUUUUGUUCCCUAGAUUGCUUCUGAAUCUGGAAAUGCCCCCAGGGCAAAAGUGCUCUGCAUGUGUGGACCCUGUCCUCUUCUGCUUCUUGGCCAGCUAAUUUCUCACUCACUACCUGGUUAGCUUUUGAUGAUUUAAAAAUGUUGUUACAGGGUACCUCCAUACUUGGCAAUGUUCAAAAAAUGAAAUAUUAUUAUAGAUUACAAAGGAUAACGCGUAAUAAUAAUGACAACAAUGACAAAAAACUCUACCACUUAUUGAGUACCUUCUGCGUACCAGCCUCUUGGUUGGACCUCUUAUAGUCCUUAAUGUAAGUAGAGGAAAGAUUGGAGACUUGGGUUCUUGUCCUGGCUUGACAACUGAUGAGCCAAGUAACUUAGACAAGACCAACCUCAAGUCCUCCAUGAAGAUCCCUCUCAGUUCUUAAAUUCUGUUAUUCAAAUCUACAUAGAAUUGAACGUCCAAGGCGCCUUGGGAGGAACUUGCCGGUGGUAUGUUAAAUGUUGCAGAGGAACUUCCUGCUAGCCCACCUGCGUUAGUUUCCUAUUGUUGCUAUAACAAAUUACCACAAAUGUAGUGGCUUGGAACAAUGCAAAUUUGUCAUCUUACAGUUCUGGAGAUCGGAAGUCCCAGACGGAUCUCACUGGGCUGACAUCAAGGUGUUGGCGGGGCACUCCUGGAGGCUCUAGAGGAGAAUCCGUUUUCUUACCUUUUCCAUCUUAUAGAGGCUGCCCACAUUCAUUCUUUGGCUGUGAUCCCCUUCCCACAGUUGCAUCACUCCAAGAAUAUAAACAAUAUAAAAUCAAAGUAUUUUAGAAGAGUGGCAAAGAGGCUGGAAAGGAGAUAAAUAAUGUUCUAAGGUUCUCUGUACAUCUGCAGCUUCUCUUUAUAGAGAACUUGCUCUCCGUUUCCUUGCACGCGGCUGUGAGACACUGGCGUCCUCAGCUCCAGAGUUCAGAUAACCACCAUUCCAAAAAAUGGCCAGCUGUUUUAGUUUCAGUUACAAAAUCUAAGGAGAAAGCAACUGACUAGCUCAGUUUUUAUCGGAGUCUACUCCUAGUCCAAUCAAGUUUGUCUAGGGGUGGGGUGGCAGAGUGAAAAUGUGGCUUGCAAAUUCUACUCUGUCAGUUAGGAAGGGUGGAGAAUUGUCAGUGAAAGAUGGUUGCUUUGAGCUAAGCAGACACCCCAAAGGUUGUGUAACACGUUCCACCUAUUGGAUGGCAGCACACAGACGAAGGCCUGAUGGUUGGGAGAGGCAGAUUCAAAUCCAUAAGUAUUUAAUACAUGCUGUCAUUCUGGCUUGCUCCAAAUAAGCCAAUGUCAUAAUCUCUGUAGGAACAUGAUUUUGGUUCUAAGAGACCACAGGCCAUAGUUUAGCCCUGUGGUCCCCAAUCUUUUUAAAAUAUUCCUCUCAGUAUGACCUUUUUAAACAUGCACCCAUAAUAUAUGAAUAUGUAAAUAUUUUAUUAAGGCAUUUCAUGUGAACAUUUUUAUACCGUGAACAAACAUGCAAAUAUAAAAUUUUAAAGAGUGAAAUGAACAAGAUUUUUAAAUGUCUUGCUAAUCAUAAUGGCUUCAUAUUAUCAUUGGUGGAUGUAAAUCCAUAUUUCAAAUAGUCGUCUUGAAAUUUUUGAGCCUCCUCGUGUCAAGUCUGGUUACAUCAUCAUUGUUUUCAUCUCAGUAUGUGGCUGACAAGAGUUCGUACCAGAAGUGGACAAGUGUUGGCUCUGCCGUUUUCUUGUAUUUCAGUUGUACUUUCAUUAUUAGUAUCAGUUAUUUACCAUGGUUUCUUAGGAUUCUUUUUAAGACACUCAGGCGUUUUGUGAUGGUUAGCUUAGUUAAAACUGGAAAAUAUAAUCUAUGAGUUGAUGUAACUGGACUCUCAAACUGCCAGCUGUCAUAAUAUACUAUCACGUGAAGUGUAUUAAGUGCCUGUGUGAGGGAUCCCUUUAGAAUCCUCUGCAUUGGAGGGGGAAUCCCCCUCUUUCCUCAGGAUUGCCCUCAGUGAGAGGGAUUAUGUAGAAAGUGAAAGAAGUUAAUGAUUCAAAGCUCCUCGCUUUCAUGGGCCCCUAAUCCUUUCCAUUCCACUUUCCCCUCUGUCAUACAUCCAUCCUUCGUGUUGGAUGGGUGUUGGACUGGCAGCGGGCAUCUUUUGGGAUCUAAGUGGAAGCUGAAUGGGCUGGUGCAUUUAAUUUGGGUUUAAUGGAAAAGAUGUAUGUGUAAGUUAUCAUUAGCCUUCCUGAUGUAGGAAUGCUUUCCAGGAAUAUUUUUACACUGCCGACUCAUCUAGCUCCUGGGACACGAAGAUGCAAGGCCAGAGGUCAGAUCGUGAUCUGAGUGUGUCCAACCAUGCUGGGUACUAGGAGGAUGGGGGUAGUGGAGGAGAAACAAUUCGAAAUGUAUGGAAUCAGAUACUGUUCUUUAGAGAAUUUGUCUAAAGAGACAUGCAAAAUUAUAAGUGGAAGAUUUGGUUCUCAUUAAUGCCUAGUCAAAAUGGAAGUCUCUACUGGCAGGAAUACACUAAAUAAUGAGGCAUAUAAAAUUAACAACUCACCACACAUUUUUUCUUUCUUUUUUUUUUUUAGAUUGGCACCUGAGCUAACAACUGUUGCAAAUCUUUUUUUUUCUCCCCAAAUCCCCCCAGUAUAUAGUUGUAUAUAUAUAUUUUUUUAGUUGUGGGUCCUUCUAGUUGUGGCAUGUGGGAUACCACCUCAGCGUGGCCUGAUGAGCAGUACCAUGUCUGCACCCAGAGUCCAAACCGGCAAAACCCUGGGCCACCAAAGCAGAGCAUGCAAAGUUAACCACUUGACCACGGGGCCAGCCCCCCAUUUUUUCUCUCCUUAUGAGAAAAAUCACAUGAAAUUGAAAUUUCUGUGUUUCUUUUCUUCUUCUAAAUAACAAUUUGCUUUCAUUCCUUAUUUUGGAUUCAUAAUUUUUUGUUCUUUUUCUUUAAGAAAGCUCCCAAAAUACGGUUGUAUCAGGCCACAAAAAACCUAGAUUCAUGCCUGCCACAUACCUGAGUGACAUGAAACCAUUUGACAUAUGAAUUAAGUAAGAACAAUAGUGUCAAUUCAUAUAUUAAAUAGUCGUUAAACUUAAUUUUUCAAUUUUUUAAAUAAAAAAUAUAAAAGUAUGUGGUCUAAUAUGUUUCCAUAUCUCAGUGAUGAGAUUUGUAUGCUCCCCUUCAGAGACAAUGGGUCAAACCAACUAUUUUGCUAUGGUUGAAUAAGAAAGGCUUGCUGCACGCCUAGAAAAAUGGGGCAUCCCACCCUCCACUGCCUCUCCUUGAAUUGGUCACUCACACAUUUCAAGCACUGCACUUCUGUCACCAAGUUCUGUUAGACUGAACCAUAUAAAAUUGUAGUUUUUAUAGGUCAAAAAUGGUCUAACAUUGGAAAAUUCAUAGGUUCACCAUAGUAUAUCAUUUAGGAUGCAUUCAGCUGCAUGUAAAAGAAACAAGACUCAAAUUGACAUAAACAAUAAGGAAACAUAUUGUGAGGAUAUUGGUGAACUCACAAAAUUGACUAAAAGGCUUUAGAAGCAAGUUUGGAAAACAGGCAGAAACCAAAGAAGGCAAAGUAGAGGUUUGAGACCCAACUCUGUCAUUUUGACCCAACUGUGCCAUUUUGAGCAAGAGUUACUUAACCUCAAUGGGACCUGUUGAAAAAAAUGGGGAUAAUAAUAUCUACCUCAAAUGGAGCAUUAGGUUAAGGAUGAGAGGAAUGGAAAGGGGCCAACAAUUAUUGAGCAUAGAGUAAUGUGUGCCAGUCCCUGAGAUGAAUGCUUUAUAUGCAUCAACUCAAAUUAGAAAGUAUAUGUACAGUGUGGGGGAUGGGGGAGUUGGUAAUCCUUAGAAGCACAGAUAUCACUUUAGCAUUCUCUGGGAGGAUGUGUCAGUCACAACCUAGCAGGAAAGAGAUGGCACACUCAACGGGAAAAAUGGAGGAGAAUUUAAUGGAGUAACCAUUUAUGAGGGUGUGGGCAGAGUUAGGAGACACCAAUAAAGGAUGAUGAAGCACUGUAGGGCAAGCCUGGAGGGACAAAGGAGUAGUCAGCAACUAAAACUCAGGAAGAGACGUGUGAGAGCAGGUGCCCGACUCUGCUGUGGCCUGCCGUGGAGGCACAGUGCAGAGCACCCGGAAAACAAAGACCUGAUAUUACUCCUCUCUCGACCUUAGACCUCCUAGUAGGGCCUCCCAUCAGUUAAACCCAACUGGAAGUCAGAGGGAAAGAGGUACCAUUGAUAUGGUCCAAGAAGGUCACCCACUGGGGCAGAGAGCAGGGUGGAAAAGGGUGGAAAGUGGAUUCGCAGGGGCAGAGGAGAAUAUCUAGCACAGAAAGUGUAGAAAUGAGCAAAGUUACCUCGUAUAUAUGUUCUCUUGUGGGAUCAGAAAGAUUUAAUCCACCUGUUUGGAGACCAGGGACUUCAGAGAAAGGAUCUUUCUAGGCUGGGCUUACAUCAGAACCUGCCUUGUUCUAAAUUCUAGCUCAAGGGUGAUGAGAUUAGAGUGUGUUAGUCAACUCUGAUUAAGCCUUCCACAAGGCCAAUUCAGUGAUUAAAUUAACAGUGAGCACUUACACCAGUUUUUAAAAAUGUCUGCUCGUCACUCAAAGUCAAGAAGAAAUGUUGCAUCUCAAGAGCUAGGUAAGCUGUUAUGGAGCAUGGGUUCUGACUAGCAAGCUGCUGUAUCCCAAACUCCAUCUCAUUUUCAUGGAUCCUCCCCAAAUUAAGCUAAUCCUGCCACUCACCCCUUUUUCUGUAUGUGGUCUCUCUUCUUCAGUAAACAAUCCCGAUUACAUGGGGCCAGGAAUGGAACUACCUAGAUCAAGUUACAAACUCUGCACUAGCCUCCAACAGCAUUAAGAUGGGCCUUGGAAGCAAGCAGAGCUGAAGAAAAGAAGGACUGCUGGGAAGGCCCCGUUGCCUGAAGCUGUGAUGUCCCAGGAAUCAAGGGAGCAGGCCCAGCAUGGGGCCACAUGAGGAGCUGGAUCUGCAGACUGAGGUUAUAGGUCCUUCUAGUUCUGCUAUAUGGGACCCCACCUCAGCAUGGCCGGAUGACCAGAUGAGUGGUGCUAGGUCUGCACCCAGGAUCCGAACCAGCGAACCUCGGACGCCAAAGCAGAGCAUGCGAACUUAAGCACUCGGCCACAGGGCCAGCCCCUAAGCAUGAAGUUUAAAUGGAAUGUUUAACAAAUGGAUGGGUCUGCAUUUUGGAGGAGGUCAUUUAGAACAGGCUUUGAAUAGUUUUGACAGCAGCAAGUCCUUCACCUGAUGCUUUGUUUAAUUUAAGCCUUCUAACCAAAUGAGAUACAUGAGGAGAUAUUCCUGGGUACCAACUAGUGAAGACCUUGGAACUACAAAUGUCAAUGUAGUCUUAGGAUGAUACUGGCAGGAAGGAGGCCUCGCAGGUCAGCUGAGAUUUGUGCAUAUCUGUGCUUACCAUAAAUAAUUAUGUGCCCAGAUCCAUCUUCUUCAUUGGUUCUGGCAUCCCACAACGUUCAUGAAAGUGAAUUUUAGGCAAUAGGGUUACAUUUGAAGAGAUCCCGUCUGAUCUGUCCGCGUUCCUUUUGCACACCGCUGCACCAACCCAGGUAACGAUCAGUGGAGGGUUGACUGAGCUCCCAGGACUCCAACUCCACCAGCCUCCCAGGUGACGUCCUGAGACAGUGCUUCUCAGACCCUCCUCCUCAGGUUCGGUGGGCAUGCCCUCGAGGUAGGUAGGAAGACCAGGAACCUCUGUUCUUAGACCCCUGGAGUGGGUGUGGUAGAUGCUGUCCAUGUUUACCCAAUACUUCCUUGGAAAUAGAACCCCCUAAUGUUUUUUUUAAACUUUUACAGGGAUAAUAAGUGUACCCCAAAAGCACCAGUCCUAAAUGCGUAGCCUGAUGAAUUAUUGCAUAUGUAUCCCCUUGUGUCAUCACCACCCAGAUCAGGAUAAAGAAAACUUCCAGCACCUCACAAGAGUCCCUCUUGCUUCUUCCCAGUCUGCAUCCCAACCCAACGGGAGCAGCACCUGUGUACUCAUUUAUUCUUCAGUCGUGCCCAGCUUGGGGACCGAUUUCCAUGGAGAUUACCUAGAGGUUUGUGCAGAACAGCUGCAGUCCAGGCUUUGCUGUGGUGAUUGUCUUCUGCCGGUCCCUGUGUGCUGUCACGGCCGCAAUGCUGACGGAGCUGCUCAGGAAGCCAGAUGAGAGCUUGGCGACACUGCGAAGAUGCUGGUGGCAGAUGGAGUGGCAGAGCAGGCAGCAAGCAAGCUGGAAUAUGGAUGUUCUGUCUCGGGAAAGGUUUUGCACAGCAGAAAAGAAGCGGGGUCAGAAACAAGUGCCAGAGGCAGGCAUGCAACUGUGGGCCAAGUGACAUCCUGCAUGCCAGGAGGAGGAUGGCAUCGGCCACGUUCCCACACAGACUGGGGACUCCGGGGAAGAAAGACACUCUCCAUUUUUUCACGUGCUUCACGUGGAAGCUUUCUGAGAGAGGAAAUCUGCGGUAUUGGGGGAACCCAUUCCCGUGUGUGCUGUGUACAACUGGAGGUAUUUUAAGGGGGUGGAAACUUACUGCCUACCUACUCUUUGUACAGAUGUGCUCCUGUUGAUUAAAGGAAUUGGCCC
RNAcentral lists this long non-coding RNA (8688 nucleotides) under Equus caballus (horse). RNAcentral's name for it is "lncRNA (ENSECAG00000049339.1)". The record is from RNAcentral. Lineage: Eukaryota; Metazoa; Chordata; Mammalia; Perissodactyla; Equidae.